GGGGCGCCACCACCAGGUGAACUGUAUCGACAGGUGUCCUUCUCUCAAACAUUACAUUAGCAGGACGUACACUGAAGACGUUUUUCCUCUCCUGAAAAGCUUACAGGAAAGGAUAUGGCUCCUUGGUGGCACAGAUGAACCAGACACCAUGUGGAUUGUCCUGGAGGUGGCAAGUGAAUAAAUAGGGAUGCACCCAGAAAGACCUGGACCAAGUCUCCACCAAAACCUCCUCCCCGGUAUCUCCCGAGUUCCACAUCCCCCUCAUCACUCACACAGCGUCCCUUAGGGAGAGGCAGAGCAGAGGGCCUGGAGGAUCAGGGCCACAUUCAGUAGACAUGGUGCCUCCGGAGAAGCAGCCAUUUUCCCCAGAAAAUAUGGCUCAUUACCAGCACAGUCAAAAUGAAGCAUCCUCUGGCAACCUAACAGCCAAGAGGCCCCGACGAGUGAGAUAUGAGGCCUGAUGACUUGAGUGAACCUGUCCUUCACUUGAGCACAGACACUCCUCCAGCAUUUCCACCCACUUUGUUUCAACAGAACUCUCCUAUGGUCCUGGACAAAAGACUACUCACGACACCAUUUUAUGAUCUCUGUGAUGAUACCGUUUCCUUCUCCUGCUUGCAUGUUACCUUGGUCUGCUCAUCUAAUGCGAGAUGUUAAUGUCAAAAACAUCAUUAGAGGUUCUCCCUUGAGACAAUUGUUGAUUUGAAGCAAAGGAUGACGAAGUGAGAAAAGAUUUUUUUAACAGCAAACAAGAAAACCAAUUUAAAUAAGUGCUUUUUCUAUAUAGUGCACACACAAAAAUACAUGCAUAUGAAUACGUAAAAACAGA
This is a long non-coding RNA of Larimichthys crocea (large yellow croaker), 829 nucleotides long. RefSeq lists it as uncharacterized. The record is from RefSeq and is a predicted model, not a curated record. The transcript has 7 exons. NCBI's taxonomy places the organism in Eukaryota, Metazoa, Chordata, Actinopteri, Sciaenidae.